GUGAGGAAUUUUCCGCAAUGGGCGAAAGCCUGACGGAGCAAUGCCGCGUGAAGGAUGAAGGCCUAUGGGUUGUAAACUUCUUUUCUCAGAAAAGAAUUAUGACGGUAUCUGAGGAAUAAGCAUCGGCUAACUCUGUGCCAGCAGCCGCGGUAAGACAGAGGAUGCAAGCGUUAUCCGGAAUGAUUGGGCGUAAAGCGUCUGUAGGUUGUUUAAAAAGUAUUCUGUCAAAGAUUAGGGCUUAACCCUAGAUAGGCAGAAUAAACUUUUAAGCUAGAGGUUGGUAGAGGCAGAUGGAAUUCCCGGUGGAGCGGUGAAAUGCGUAGAUAUCGGGAGGAACACCAAAGGCGAAGGCACUCUGCUGGGCCAAUACUAACACUGAGAGACGAAAGCGAGGGGAGCAAAUGGGAUUAGAUACCCGGGUAGUCC
This 426-nucleotide ribosomal RNA is filed under the name uncultured bacterium. RNAcentral describes it as "bacterial SSU rRNA". It matches the Rfam family "Bacterial small subunit ribosomal RNA", at positions 354 to 796 of the family's 1533-position model. The record is from RNAcentral.